This 395-nucleotide ribosomal RNA is filed under the name uncultured bacterium. RNAcentral's name for it is "bacterial SSU rRNA". It matches the Rfam family "Bacterial small subunit ribosomal RNA", at positions 64 to 507 of the family's 1533-position model. The record is from RNAcentral.
GAGCGCCCCUUCGGGGGAGCGGCGGACGGGUGAGUAACGCGUGGGAACGUGCCCUUUGGUACGGAACAACUGAGGGAAACUUCAGCUAAUACCGUAUGUGCCCUUCGGGGGUGAGAUUUAUCGCCAUUGGAGCGGCCCGCGUUGGAUUAGCUAGUUGGUGGGGUAAUGGCCCACCAAGGCUACGAUCCAUAGCUGGUCUGAGAGGAUGAUCAGCCACACUGGGACUGAGACACGGCCCAGACUCCUACGGGAGGCAGCAGUAGGGAAUCUUGCGCAAUGGGCGAAAGCCUGACGCAGCCAUGCCGCGUGAAUGAUGAAGGUCUUAGGAUUGUAAAAUUCUUUCACCGGGGAAGAUAAUGACGGUACCCGGAGAAGAAGCCCCGGCUAACUUCGUG